This 497-nucleotide ribosomal RNA is filed under the name uncultured bacterium. Its description in RNAcentral is "partial 16S ribosomal RNA". It matches the Rfam family "Bacterial small subunit ribosomal RNA", at positions 28 to 507 of the family's 1533-position model. The record is from RNAcentral.
GAUGAACGCUGGCGGCGUGCCUAAUACAUGCAAGUCGAGCGAACGGACGGGAAGCUUGCUUCUCUGAUGUUAGCGGCGGACGGGUGAGUAACACGUGGAUAACCUACCUAUAAGACUGGGAUAACUUCGGGAAACCGGAGCUAAUACCGGAUAAUAUUUUGAACCGCAUGGUUCAAAAGUGAAAGACGGUCUUGCUGUCACUUAUAGAUGGAUCCGCGCUGCAUUAGCUAGUUGGUAAGGUAACGGCUUACCAAGGCAACGAUGCAUAGCCGACCUGAGAGGGUGAUCGGCCACACUGGAACUGAGACACGGUCCAGACUCCUACGGGAGGCAGCAGUAGGGAAUCUUCCGCAAUGGGCGAAAGCCUGACGGAGCAACGCCGCGUGAGUGAUGAAGGUCUUCGGAUCGUAAAACUCUGUUAUUAGGGAAGAACAUAUGUGUAAGCAACUGUGCACAUCUUGACGGUACCUAAUCAGAAAGCCACGGCUAACUACGUG